Molecule: long non-coding RNA, 214 nt
Organism: Pipistrellus kuhlii (Kuhl's pipistrelle)
Lineage: Eukaryota; Metazoa; Chordata; Mammalia; Chiroptera; Vespertilionidae
Exons: 2
Source: RefSeq, a predicted model, not a curated record
AAUCAAGGUUCAACUACAAGACUGCGCACACAGACCACACAGGGAAUUUCAAGGAUCUUAGUGAGAACAUCAAAGACAUGAAAAAGGACUAGUCAGAAAUUAAGCAUAUACUAACCGAAAUAAAGAAUAACUUACAGGAAUUCAAUAGUAGAAUAGAGGAUUCCGAGAAUCAACUCAACGAUUUGGAAUAUGAGAAAGCAAAAACAAAAAACAA